This is a long non-coding RNA of Mirounga angustirostris (Northern elephant seal), 4509 nucleotides long. RefSeq lists it as uncharacterized. The record is from RefSeq and is a predicted model, not a curated record. Lineage: Eukaryota; Metazoa; Chordata; Mammalia; Carnivora; Phocidae. The transcript is spliced from 5 exons.
GACUAUAACACGGCUAAUCUACUUUGAAAUUCUCCAGCUUUCAGGCUCUCUAUCAAAAAAGCUGUUUUUGAACUUGCCUCUUAUGGAUGCAUCCACCAUGAGCAUGGACUUACCACUCACUGGCCUGGGAAAGGCAACCAGAAUUGAGAGCAUUAUGAUUUCUUCACUCCUCACUCAGUGAGCUGACUCUGUGUGAUCUCAUGACGGGAGAGAGCUUUCUGGUGUGGCAUCCAGGACCUGGGCCAUGCUGCAGAGGCGUGGACCACUGACACACACAACAUCUGUCUGGUGUUCAGAUAGAAGUCAUGCGGCCAACACUCAGGAACCCCAGUCAAGAAUUUAGAAGUGUAGAAGAAAGAGCUACUUUUCCUCCUUACAUCAACAAAGUGCACUGGAAACUAUAAAAAGAUCUGCGUGUCACUCCCCUGCCAGGAAAAAAGAGGAAAGAAAGAAAGAAAAGAAAAGAAAAGAAAGAAAGAAAGAAAGAAAGAAAGAAAGGAGAAAGAAAGAAAAGAAGAAAAAGAAAGAGAAAGAAAAGAAAGAAAAAGAAAAAAGAAAGAAAAGAAGAAAGAAAGAAAAGAAAAGAAAGAAAGAAAGAAAAGAAAGAAAGAAAAGAAGAAAAGAAAGAAAGAAAGAGAAAGAAAAGAAAGAAAAAGAAAAAAGAAAGAAAAGAAGCAAGAAAGAAAAAGAAAAGCCUAACAAACACGAAAAAAAAAAAAAAAAAAAAAAAAGCCAGAGCAACUGGAAUCUCAGUUUUGAGGAAACACAUGGGAUUGAAGCAUCCGCCGCAACUCUGCAACGACUGCCACAUGUGACCCCUCCUCCCCCCUCUCCCCUGCGCGGAAUCCUGGAUGUCACCGGGCUGGGCGGAGGAGGCCGUGCUCGCAGGCAAGUGUGCGGCAGCGGGGGCCCUGCGGGGCGGGGCAGCUGACGCCGCUCGCGGCGCGGGGAGGGUCUUCCAGGAAGCCGCGGGCUCGGCUGAGGACGCGGCUGCGGGUCGCGGCCGGGGCCGCGCCGCCCGGACCGGCACGUAGCGCCCAGCGUGACUCAGCGCUGACUCACCGCGCUCGCUGCCAGGGGACUUCCCCGUCAGCCGCUGCCGCUCGCCGGUCCUCGCCGCCGCCUGCUCCGCGAGCCCUUUCCUGCACGCCAGACCAGUCCCGGCGCUUUCAGCAGAGCGGGGCCGACUUUACAGCCUUGGAAUCCCGACCGAAGCGGGGAAGUGACCGGCUUUGUUUUCUUGGAUUUGAAGAGCUCAAUGGCCCACUAAUCAAAUUCUUUCAUCAAAGGCUUGUUGGAACAAAUCCCUAACAUCGUCCUUCCACGGUGACUUGUAGGUGACCUCCGCUCAGAGUUUGCUUCUGUCGUCCUAGGCCUGCAUCUUAUUUUUAUCCCGCAUUUUCUUGGGUUAUCUUUUCAAUAUGUUUGGUAACUAGUCUUGGCACAAACCCACAAGGGCAGUGACGCAAAUCAGGUUGGAACUUGGCAUGAUGUGCGGGCCUGGGUGACUUACUGUAAAAACGGUUCAUAAAGACGUUACUAUCUGCCAUCUCGGUUGCUGAUUAGAUGCCCUGCUCAUUUUCAGUCUGUCACUACCCUCUGAAAGGUCCCGGGACAGAAUGUUAAAAUGCAGAUUCUUGAGCAGUCGUACUUACUUCUUCGUCUCCAGGAUUCUACAUGGAGAACAAUAAUACAGCACGGUUUCUCCAACUGCAGCUCACGGACCAUUCACUGCAUGGAGAGUGGCUGGGGGGAUGUGGUCACAGCGCAGGUUCUUAGACCCCGCUCCAAGCCAUAGACGCAGAAUGUCUUGCGGUGGGGCCUGGAAAUCCUUUUUUUUUUUUGGAAGAUUUUAUUUAUGUAUUUGUCAGAGAGAGAGACAGAACACAAGCAGGGGGAGAGGAAGGCAGAGGGAGAAGCAGGCGCCCCACUGAGCAAGGAGCCUGAUAUGGGACUGGGUCCCAGGACCCUGGGAUCAUGACCUGAGGCAGUCGCUUCACCAACUGAGGCACCCAGGCAUCCCUGGAAAUGCAUCUUAAUGAGCGGCCCAUCAGAGAUGCCUAUGUACACUAAAGUUCAAAAACUACUAGCCAGAGGAUGACGGUCUUUCUGUGAAGACGCUAGGAAACAUUCUCACGAUGGAGAACACUUUGUUCUAAAACUGAUUUUGAAGUUCUGAUAGCAGGCAACCCGAUUUCUAAAACUGGUUAUAUAUACAAUUUUGUUCAACUGUAUAUUAAUAUAGACACAUUAUUUUUCUUUUUAAUUAGACAUUCGGCUAUGAAGUAAAAUGUAGUACGUAUAGAGUAAAUUUUAUUUCAGACCUGUUAUUUCCUAAACCUGACUUUGCAUCAGAAUUAGCUACAGAGCCUUUUAACACUAAUUCCUGGACCAGACCUCCCGCCUAAAGAAACAUUAUCUCUGAAGAUGAAACCUAAGAACAGGCAAUCCGAAAAGCUCUGAAAGUUAGUCUCUGGACCUUUGCAAAUGAUCACUCUUCCCAAGUACAAGAGAAACUUCACUAACUUCAAGGUAGUUGGCUUGUAGCAUUCUACUAUGGUGCCCACUCAUCUCUGCAUCACAAUUGCAAUUGUGAUGAAAUCACAAUUGAAAAAAUAAAAUGAAAAGUGACCACAUAAGAUACCAACUUAGGGGCGCCUGGGUGGCUCAGUUGGUUAAGCGACUGCCUUCGGCUCAGGUCAUGAUCCUGGAGUCCCUGGAUCGAGCCCUGCAACGGGCUCCCUGCUCAGCAGGGAGUCUGCUUCUCCCUCUGAUCCUUCCCCCUCUCAUGCUCUCUCUGUCUCAUUCUCUCUCUCAAAUAAAUAAAUAAAAUCUUUAAAAAAAAAAAAAGAUACCAACUUAGUAUUAUAUUGAUAAAUGUAUGUCUUUAGAAAGCAAAUUUGAAAUCUUUUUUUUUUUUUUUUUUUUUUUUUUUUAGAGGAGCUAUUGGGAGAGGUUGGGAGAUUGGAGAAUAAUCUCAGAGUCUAUUUUGAAAUUUUUUCUAUUCUUCCCUGGGAUAUUUUAUUUGUUUACUCAUUUUCUUUUCAUCUCGCUGGGUAAAUUUCCCCCACUUUAUCCCUGUUAGCAUUGUGGCAAAAAGCCUGGAUCUGACACAUAUCUGACAAGAGAGCUCUCCUUGCUGACUCUUCUCUAAGUGUGGUCUUUGGACCAGCAGCAUGGACAUCACCUGGAAAUCUGUAAGAAAUGCAGACUCUCAGGCUCGACCAGAACUACCAUAUCAGAAUCAACACUUUAGCAAGAUCUCCAGAUUUACUUAUUUAUUUGAGAGAGAAAGAGCGGACCUGCCCAAGCAGACUCCUGGCUAAAUGCAGAACGAGAAGGAGGGCUCCAUCCCAUGACCAUGAGAUCAUGACCUGAGCCGAAAUCAAGAGUCUGAUGCUUAACUGACUGGGACACCCAGGCGACCCUUAAAUGUACUUCUUUAAUGUUCUUUUUAAAGAUUUAUUUAUCUGGGAGAGAGAGCUUUGCCCACGUGAGCACAGGGAGGGGAUUGUGGGAAGGGGCAGAGGGAGAGGCAGAUAAAAGUCUUAAGUAGACUCCAUGCUGAGCUGGAGCCUUACUCAGGACUCAGUCUCAUGACCCUGAGAUCAGAACCUGAGCCAAAACCAAGAGUCCGACGCUCCACCAACUGCACCACCCAGGUGCCCCUCUUUAAUGUUUCUGAUCAAGAUAAAGAAGUGACAUUUAUCGGGGCGCCUGGGUGGCUCAGUUGGUUAAGCGACUGCCUUCGGCUCAGGUCAUGAUCCUGGAGUCCCAGGAUCGAGUCCCGCAUCGGGCUCCCUACUCAGCAGGGAGUCUGCUUCUCCCUCUCCCACUCCCCGUUUGUGUUCCCUCUCUCGCUGUGUCUUUCUCUGUCAAAUAAAUAAAUAAAAUCUUUAAAAAAAAAAAAAAAGGAAGUGACAUUUAUCAACUGCAUAUUAUAUGCCUGGAACUAUAUUAUCCAUUGAUUUCCUGCUUAUGAUAGGUGAAGAUUCAACUCUCUUAAAUCCACCUAAGACUUUAAGUAAAAUAUUUAAGCCUCGGAAGAUUUAAGAUCAGUGACAGUAUGAAUAUCUACUUUGUUAAAAGGGGAUAUAUGCUCCUUCCCAUUCUCCUUGACUUUCUUUCUCUUUGUAGCUAUUAAAUUCUGUCAUAGGAAUGUUUCCCUUUUUACCUUAUUGCGAUUGAUAACAUUUUUAUAUAUAUGUAUAUAUAUAUUGUUAUCUCAACUGUUCUGGGGUUUGUCUAAAGGUUUAACACUGAAAUAAAAAAAAAAAACAUUGGUAUUACUAAGACUAUGUGAAUAUUCUUCAUGGCAGCGAAUGUAGUAUAGUCGUGAUUACAUGUUUUUUCUGUACUCUUACUGUUUUUCAUAAAGUUUUUAAUUGUCUUUGUUCCUAACAUACUCCCUCCACUCUCCAGUAUCUUUUAAAGAGAGAGGACCUGGGAAAUAAAUGCACUAAUUCUUACAUUCCUGAAAAUGUUUUCAUUCUGCUUUUACAUUUAAUU